This 253-nucleotide ribosomal RNA is filed under the name uncultured bacterium. Its description in RNAcentral is "partial 16S ribosomal RNA". It matches the Rfam family "Bacterial small subunit ribosomal RNA", at positions 524 to 776 of the family's 1533-position model. The record is from RNAcentral.
UACGUAGGGUGCGAGCGUUAAUCGGAAUUACUGGGCGUAAAGCGUGCGCAGGCGGUUUUGUAAGCCAGAUGUGAAAUCCCCGGGCUUAACCUGGGAAUGGCAUUUGGGACUGCAAGGCUUGAGUGCGGCAGAGGAGACUGGAAUUCCUGGUGUAGCGGUGAAAUGCGCAGAUAUCAGGAAGAACACCCGUGGCGAAGGCGGCUCUCUGGGACGGUACUGACGCUGAGACGCGAAAGCGUGGGGAGCGAACAGG